This 92-nucleotide transfer RNA is filed under the name Laccaria bicolor S238N-H82. It matches the Rfam family "tRNA". From Rfam's summary of the family: Transfer RNA (tRNA) molecules are approximately 80 nucleotides in length. The record is from Rfam by way of RNAcentral. Lineage: Eukaryota; Fungi; Basidiomycota; Agaricomycetes; Agaricales; Hydnangiaceae.
GUCUCCAUAGCUCAGUGGUAGAGCAUGCGAUUGCAGUGAUUGAAUUGACAGCCUAUAUCGCAGGGUCAGGUGUUCGAACCACCUUGGGGACU